Molecule: ribosomal RNA, 194 nt
Filed under: Salmonella enterica subsp. enterica serovar Muenchen
Lineage: Bacteria; Pseudomonadati; Pseudomonadota; Gammaproteobacteria; Enterobacterales; Enterobacteriaceae
Also listed under: 13 other names
Description: partial 16S ribosomal RNA
Rfam family: Bacterial small subunit ribosomal RNA
Source: RNAcentral
AAAUUGAAGAGUUUGAUCAUGGCUCAGAUUGAACGCUGGCGGCAGGCCUAACACAUGCAAGUCGAACGGUAACAGGAAGCAGCUUGCUGCUUCGCUGACGAGUGGCGGACGGGUGAGUAAUGUCUGGGAAACUGCCUGAUGGAGGGGGAUAACUACUGGAAACGGUGGCUAAUACCGCAUAACGUCGCAAGACC